Long non-coding RNA from Triticum dicoccoides, 2818 nucleotides. RefSeq lists it as uncharacterized. The transcript is spliced from 4 exons. The record is from RefSeq and is a predicted model, not a curated record. NCBI's taxonomy places the organism in Eukaryota, Viridiplantae, Streptophyta, Magnoliopsida, Poales, Poaceae.
CUGCCCUCUCGUAUCUUAUCCAUUUCUCUCGCUCUGGCGAUGGCGACGGCGACAGACCGACUUCUGCGGAGACGGCGCGGCGAGGCGGGGCAGGUGCUACGGAGGAUGGAGGACGCCGGAGGACGCCGGAGCAGAGCACGACAGCUCCCGCCUUCGCUGCUGUCCGCGCGCGCCUCGCCUCCGUCCGCGCCGGAGCGCUGCUGUCCGCGCGCGCCUCGCCUCCGUCCGCGCCGGAGAGCUGCUGUCCGCGCGCGCCUCGCCUCCGUCCGCGCCGGAGCGCUGCUGUCCGCGCGCGCCUCGCCUCCGCCCGCGUCCUGCCGCGUCCCAACCGCGCUGGGAGACCGCCUCUGCCUGCCGCGCGCGCCACGGAGUAACCGAGUGAGCUCACCUCCGCGGCUGCCCUUCCCGCGGUCGGCGAGCUCCAUCCUCUCUUGCCCCACCGUCGAGUUCGAGAAUAUGGCAAAACCGCAAAAAGGAGGCGAUGGAGGUUGUUCCGCCGUCGACAUGAAUCAUACAGAUGCAGGCUUUGCCUGUACCCCCUGAUCCUUGUGCUCCGGUGCCGGCACCUGUCCCUGUGCGGUGCCGUGCUCAGGAAUUUGGCGAAGAAGGCGGCUGCCGUGCUUGCGCGCGAGAAGGGCGCCGGACCUUGUUGGCGCUGCGAAGGGGGCACAGCUCAGGUUGGGUACGCCGGCGGCGAGCACGCUCCACUUCUUCACCUGGCUGGAGCACCUGCUCCUCCCAUCACGCGCAGAUCGACGGAGCAGUUCGAUGGUCGUUGCCCAACUGCGUGCAAUUCAGUACUGCUCUGCCCCAUCGACUUCAACCACCAGCUCGCGAGGUGCACGCCAUGUGUUUGCUAAAAAAGACUCAGCGCACUACAACACCAUUUUUCUUUGUUUCAUGGUCAUUUGUAGGUAGCUCAUUCUUGCUAAUUUCUGUAGCUUAGACUACUUUACAACGUUUAUCCUGUGUGCUCUGCACUUUAGGUUGUUUGCACGAACAGUACACUACAAGGAAUUUUGUCCAUUUGAUCUGUGUUGAGAAAAAAGUUUGAAGUGUUUUAAAAAACAGUUGGUUUAUAUUGUUGUAUUGUGAUUCACCAGAAGGAAUUAUGGCAGUAGUUCAGCGAAAAAGGUUUACCUCAGUUCAGACUAGAGUUGCUGGUGCUUUAGGGUGGAUGGUCCAGAUAGACCAAAACAAUGGUACCUAUGUUUACUGCACUUGCAUACUCUGGUAAGUGCUUAGGCCUGAUUUGUUGUUAGCAUCCUGGGUAAUUAAUCCCCUUCCUGCAACUUUCAGCUUGCUUGUGGACCCAAGAUUGUCCAAGUGAGAUCCCCAAGGUGUUGGCUGCACACGAAGUCUCGUUUCUUGGUAAUGGCGAACCAGUUUCCAUAUCUCAGCAUAUUCAACAUGUUAAGAGUUCAAUUUGUCUCGGUAUGCUGCUAUAGGGCUUGGGCACAUGCGCCUUUCUCAAGAUGUGUCUGCAAGCAGCUAUACAUUUUUAUCCUGUUGUGCUCUGAUCGCCUGAUGGUCUUGGAUGGUGUAAUUGCUUUUGAUGAUUUAGGAAAAUUUGUGUUAAAUCUUCUCGAAAGAUUCAAGCUGGUUGACAUGAAACCGGUGGUGGAGCAGUGUAGCAGACGUCAAGGCUAUGAAUGGCGGCAAGGGAUAAGAGCCCUGGCGCUUGCUUGAGAAUUUAGUUGCUAUAGCUAAUAACGACUGACCAAAUCAGUAUGUCUGGAAGUUGAACAUUUAGGCUACAACCUGUACGAGACAAAUGAGCUUGUUUAAGGAAUUCAAGUAUGGACGUGGAGCAGCAGAUGGAUGGAUGUUAGCCAACACAAAAGUUGCACACGGCAGAUCUGAGAUCUUCCACUUGCUACUCGCUCUUGUCAAGACAUUAGCAAGGCCAUUGUCCAUCUCCAGAGAAGCGCAAGGCCAAUAGCCCACUAGAUAAGGCUAUCGAGGAGCCGUCUGAAAUAGAUGUACUUACUGCGUUAUUUGAAAUGAAUGGAUAUCUUGUUGACACAGUUUUGGGAUAAAAUAAAACAGAUUAAGUGAUGGGUGUCAGGCUCUAUGGUGUGUUUGACUACAACACUACUGAUGUCGCACAAUCUGCCGGGGAUGAAGUGGCAGAUGCCAUCGCAAGUGUUUGCACAUGAUGCAGUAAUAGACAAAGCAUAUCAAGGUGCAGUGUCCUAGGCUCCUAGGUGUUCAAAGGUUCAUGCAUAUCCAAGUGUUCUUGACCCAUGAAGUAGCAGACUAGCAGCCACAUACAUGUUCACUCUGCAUGGAGAUUCAGUAUGCAUAUAUCAAGAAAAUAUAUCAGACAGUGUUAUUCCCGUUUUCUGGCAACAAGCAGAGUGACUGCUAAGCUCUUCAGCAUGUCCGCAGUCAAUCUGGUAGCAAAAGCAGUUGCAAAGGAAAGUUGACUACACUGACAAAAAAUAGAUGUUUGCUUUAUUCUAUUAUAUGCAGAACUAUACUACAUUAUAUCUUUAGACUGGGACAUUGAUGUAUAGACCAUCAUUUUUUAGUACUUAGAAGGGGUUCAUGGCAAAAGAUAAAUUUCAGAUGUACAUGGUAUAACUCUCACCUUUGAGGUUCUUGAGGACAUGUUCUAUUUGAUGUUCUUCAGGAGAGGUUCAAGAUUACAUUCAAGGAGAGAAUGUAGCCAUAGUGACAUUCAUGAAGUGAAGCAACUGCCAGCAUUGUAGGAGAGGUGUAGUCGGGGCUGUCAUACCAUGUAAAUCAGUGAGCUACUCUUUGUAGAGUUGCUACGAAAUUUAUGUUAAUUUCCUGCGGAUGAAUAAGUUCCUAA